This 117-nucleotide ribosomal RNA is filed under the name Calamagrostis arundinacea. RNAcentral describes it as "partial 18S ribosomal RNA". It matches the Rfam family "Eukaryotic small subunit ribosomal RNA", at positions 1719 to 1831 of the family's 1831-position model. The record is from RNAcentral. Lineage: Eukaryota; Viridiplantae; Streptophyta; Magnoliopsida; Poales; Poaceae.
GGCGACGGGGGCGGUUCGCCGCCCCCGACGUCGCGAGAAGUCCAUUGAACCUUAUCAUUUAGAGGAAGGAGAAGUCGUAACAAGGUUUCCGUAGGUGAACCUGCGGAAGGAUCAUUG